Long non-coding RNA from Ornithorhynchus anatinus (platypus), 389 nucleotides. RefSeq lists it as uncharacterized. NCBI's taxonomy places the organism in Eukaryota, Metazoa, Chordata, Mammalia, Monotremata, Ornithorhynchidae. The record is from RefSeq and is a predicted model, not a curated record. The transcript is spliced from 3 exons.
AUAAAGUAACAGAUUUGUAUGUUACCAUCAUUAUUGGAGCCCCAGGAUUAAGUCUCAGAGAUCCAUUAGAUCAAAUGAAGAGGUGGGAAACAGUUUAAAUGGAAACAGAACCACAGAUGGAACAUUCCACACUCUCGAGGGAUUGGGUCAUAAAACUAAAAUGUUCAGAGAACUUAAUUUGACAGGCCAAGCUGCCAACCAGAAAUGAGAAGCUAAGAGGAGGGGACAGAAGAAGUGAAUUUUUCAGACAGAAGACUUAACUUUGGCAUUGUGAAAGGUGACUUCAUAAAGCCUGAGUAAUGAGAACCUGGAAGCUGAUCAUGGAAAUGAAGCAGGGUGAGGGCCUCAUCAUUCCUUGCCAGGACCUAUCAAACAAUCACCAACUAUAA